AUGUGAACCGUACUGACUAUCAGCUGAUUGAUAUUUCUGAAGAUGACUUUGUAAGUUUUCUUUUACUUAUUAUUAGGAUAUAUAUCUAUUUUGUUGAAGGCUGUGUUGCUUUCUUUUUGUUUGCUGAAUGCUGAAGAUGCUGCCAUAUCCUGAAAUCUGAGAGUAUUUUUUUUGGAAGGUUGCUAUACAUGACAACAAAAUGUCAUCUUUCAUAUUUUCAUUCCAUUAAAAAAUCAAAAAUAUCAUCUUAUUUUGACUUGUGUAUAAAAAACUUAUCUUGAGUUGAUAAGUAUUAAUUGAUUAAGUAAAAAAAAUGAAGUUUUUCUUAAACUUAUCUUAAACAAAUAUAUGAUAACAAUAGUUCUGUGAUGUUUUCAUUCCAUGAAGAAAAUCUAAUAUUUCAUAUUAAAUUCUACCAAAUGAAUAAUUAAUUUAUUUUUUUAGACUUAAACAAAUAACACUGUUCAACUCAAGAUAAGUUUUUUAUACACAAGUCAAAAUAAGAUGACAUGGGGGUGCAUUUCCAACCUUAAAUUUUUCUCAUGUUGGUUGAAUAUAAUUUGGUUGAUUUGGAAAAGAAAAAAUGAACAAUUAUGAUUCCAUUGGCUGCUGAUGUAAUGACUAACACGUCUACAACAAGAAAUAGAGACAUAAUUUUGGUAUUCUUCGAGAGUAGCUAACAUUUCUUAACCUAUUUGUGUGUUACUUUUAGGUGAGUCUGUUGACUGAUAAUGGAAGUACCAAGGAUGAUUUGAAACUUCCCACUGAUGAUGCACUUCUUUACCUUCUUUAUUCAUUACAAUCGGAUUAUUCAUUUCACCUUCCAUGACUUCAAUUUGAAUGUGAAUGGUAGGGACAGAACAAUUUCGUGUGAAAAUCUUAAAAAGAAAAUCAAAUCUGAGCAUUCUUGGGAACCAUCAUCAUGGAGCCCGGUAAGGAAAUAUCGUAAAAUGCAUGACAUACUUGCGAGGGUUCCACCUGGCUUUGAAGCUCAUGGUAAGAAUUAUUCUUUGUGAAACUUCAUUCAUUGACCAAAUUGUAUAUUGUUGAAGAUCCGUGUCUAACAGUGCAUGUUUUGAUUCAACUCAUAUCUGUACUCCUAUAGUGGGAAAUUUGCACAUGGUUUUAUUAGAUUUAGUAUGUGCAUAAGUUUAGUUACUCCUUAUUUUGGUCAUGGGUGUUUAAUACUUUAUUUGAUGUUUAAUUUCCAACAUGUGCGGUUGGGUUAACAAUCAUAGAACUUAAUGCUACAUUUUCUCCACAGUGAACCUGUUGUUGGGAUUGCAGAAUUAGUGUUGCAGCAGCUGCAACUGCUUCUUCAAUGACACGAGCUAAUUAGUUGCUAUUUGACUUUUAAAAAAAUCAGUAAACCAAAUACCAUGUCUACUUGAUUCCAUUUUAUAGUUGUCAAAUUAUGUGUUGGAAAUUUUUCAAGUGGUGAUGAAAGGUAAGUUCUGAAGAUGGAGCAUCAAAGAUGAAGAUCUAUAACUUUGGUUGACUACUAAAUUCAUAUGCUAAUUAGUUGGUUUUUUCAAAGGAUUUUAGAAGUGAAAAGAGUUUAUUAAAAAAUGAGAGGGUCCAGUACUAGCACCAACACGUCGUCAACUGAAGCAUUUUACUGAUAAGAAGACAUACGAAGCAAUGGAUGGGUUAGCUAAGUUUCAAAACAAGAAUGCUCAUCAAUUAGCCAUGAAAGUUGUCCGCAAUUAUCUUAGUGUAGAUAAUAAAGACCAAUCAAUUUAUUUGAUCUAUUUUAUUUUAUUUUAUUUCUUAUCAUUAAA
Vicia villosa (hairy vetch) is the source of this 1781-nucleotide long non-coding RNA. RefSeq lists it as uncharacterized. The transcript has 2 exons. The record is from RefSeq and is a predicted model, not a curated record. Lineage: Eukaryota; Viridiplantae; Streptophyta; Magnoliopsida; Fabales; Fabaceae.